UAGGUUAACGAGGCGAACCGGGGGAACUGAAACAUCUAAGUACCCCGAGGAAAAGAAAUCAACCGAGAUUCCCCCAGUAGCGGCGAGCGAACGGGGAGCAGCCCAGAGUCUGAAUCAGCUUGUGUGUUAGUGGAACGGUCUGGAAAGUCCGACGGUACAGGGUGAUAGUCCCGUACACCAAAAUGCACAGGCUGUGAACUCGAAGAGUAGGGCGGGACACGUGGUAUCCUGUCUGAAUAUGGGGGGACCAUCCUCCAAGGCUAAAUACUCCUGACUGACCGAUAGUGAACCAGUACCGUGAGGGAAAGGCGAAAAGAACCCCGGCGAGGGGAGUGAAAAAGAACCUGAAACCGUGUACGUACAAGCAGUGGGAGCACCUUCGGGUGUGACUGCGUACCUUUUGUAUAAUGGGUCAGCGACUU
This 422-nucleotide ribosomal RNA is filed under the name Klebsiella aerogenes. RNAcentral's name for it is "partial 23S ribosomal RNA". It matches the Rfam family "Bacterial large subunit ribosomal RNA", at positions 167 to 629 of the family's 2925-position model. The record is from RNAcentral. Lineage: Bacteria; Pseudomonadati; Pseudomonadota; Gammaproteobacteria; Enterobacterales; Enterobacteriaceae.